AAAUGCGAUAAGUAAUGUGAAUUGCAGAAUUCCGUGAAUCAUCGAAUCUUUGAACGCACAUUGCGCCCUCUGGCACUCCGGGGGGCAUGCCUGUCCGAGCGUCAUUACGCACCCUCAAGCCCGGCUUGUGUGAUGGGCCCCGGCGUCUCGUUCGCGAGACGGGCCCGAAAGGCAGCGGCGGCGUCGACCCGAUGAGCCCGAGCGUAUGGGGACUUCUGUCACACGUUCGCGGUGCGGACCGGCGCCUGCUUGACUUUUCUGAUUAUCCAGGUUGACCUCGGAUCAGGUAGGGAUACCCGCUGAACUUAAGC
RNAcentral lists this unclassified non-coding RNA (311 nucleotides) under plant metagenome. RNAcentral's name for it is "partial contains 5.8S ribosomal RNA, internal transcribed spacer 2, and large subunit ribosomal RNA". The stretch from base 1 to 104 matches the Rfam family "5.8S ribosomal RNA", at positions 51 to 154 of the family's 154-position model. The record is from RNAcentral.